GUUCUAUCAGAUAUAAAAUAUGAGAUAUAAGUUAACCAGCACCAGGUUUGUUAUUCACUCUUUGCCCAUCAGUUCUAUCAGAUAUAAAAUAUAAGAUAUAAGUCAUCCAGCACUGGGUUUGUUACUCUAUGCCCAUCAGUUCUAUCUGAUAUAAAAUAAUAGUUACCCA
Haliotis rubra (blacklip abalone) is the source of this 169-nucleotide long non-coding RNA. RefSeq lists it as uncharacterized. Lineage: Eukaryota; Metazoa; Mollusca; Gastropoda; Lepetellida; Haliotidae. The record is from RefSeq and is a predicted model, not a curated record. The transcript is spliced from 2 exons.